UCUUGGUCCAUUAGAGGAAGUAAAAGUCGUAACAAGGUCUCCGUUGGUGAACCAGCGGAGGGAUCAUUACCGAGUUUACAACUCCCAAACCCCUGUGAACAUACCUAUACGUUGCCUCGGCGGAUCAGCCCGCGCCCCGUAAAACGGGACGGCCCGCCCGAGGACCUUAAACUCUGUUUUUAGUGGAACUUCUGAGUAAAACAAACAAAUAAAUCAAAACUUUCAACAACGGAUCUCUUGGUUCUGGCAUCGAUGAAGAACGCAGCAAAAUGCGAUAAGUAAUGUGAAUUGCAGAAUUCAGUGAAUCAUCGAAUCUUUGAACGCACAUUGCGCCCGCCAGUAUUCUGGCGGGCAUGCCUGUUCGAGCGUCAUUUCAACCCUCAAGCUCAGCUUGGUGUUGGGACUCGCGGUAACCCGCGUUCCCCAAAUCGAUUGGCGGUCACGUCGAGCUUCCAUAGCGUAGUAAUCAUACACCUCGUUACUGGUAAUCGUCGCGGCCACGCCGUAAAACCCCAACUUCUGAAUGUG
Molecule: ribosomal RNA, 528 nt
Filed under: Fusarium sp. 4-5
Lineage: Eukaryota; Fungi; Ascomycota; Sordariomycetes; Hypocreales; Nectriaceae
Description: eukaryotic LSU rRNA
Rfam family: 5.8S ribosomal RNA (bases 218-371)
Source: RNAcentral